Molecule: ribosomal RNA, 220 nt
Filed under: uncultured bacterium
Lineage: Bacteria
Description: partial 16S ribosomal RNA
Rfam family: Bacterial small subunit ribosomal RNA
Source: RNAcentral
GCCUUUGAGUGGGGGAUAACAGUUCUAACGGGCUGCUAAUACCGCAUGACGCUGUCGAUCGCAUGGUCGAUAGUUAAAGAUGGCCUCUACAUGUAAGCUGUCGCUCGAAGAUGGUCCCGCGUCCUAUUAGCUUGUUGGUGGGGUAACGGCCUACCAAGGCAUCGAUGGGUAGCCGGCUUGAGAGAGUGGUCGGCCACACUGGGACUGAGAUACGGCCCGG